CGUACAUGGAAUGUGGCUUGUCUAGGGCAACUGUAUUUGUAAAUAAAUGGCUUCCUGUUUAUUACGUUCGCUUUCCUGAGAACUCAGCCUCUGAGCACUUAUUAGAGCAAGUAUUCAACUUCUGGUUUAAUUUCCACUGUGUGGGGUGGGGUGUUUUUUGUUUUGUUUUGUGGUAUUCACUAUAAAGAAACCGGGUUAAAAUGAAUCAGUUGGGUCGGGGGGGUGGUUCCUGAUCCUGAAGCAUCCAGGCUGACCAGGAGAUAACAACCUUACAAGUCCUCACUUUGGCCUAAGUGCGAGGAAGGGGGCUGGAUCCUGGGACGCUGCUGGACUCCAAUCUGGGGAGUUUCACUUUUGCCCCCCGGAUCUUUCUACUGCUGACCGCAGCCUUCUCUAGCAGCUUCAGAGGGCAAGGCGGCUAUCCUCCUGGCGGGUGGCCUGGGCACCGACCUGCCGCCUGGCAUCCCCGCUAACCCUGCAGCCGCGCUCGCCCACCGCCCGCUCAGAGUCGCCGCGCAGGGCCAGGUUCCGCCGCUCCCGGGCGGGGACCGCAACGAGGCCGGGCACACGCAGCCAACCCCAGCGUCCGUGGGGCGCCCGAGUUCCCAACCCCGGGGAGGCGGCCGGGCCUGGCGCCCGAAACUCCAACCAGCGCCGGCCUCCGGCCGCCCUGCCCCCGCUCGCGUCUCCUCUGCCAGACUCGGCGCUCGGAACAAUGCAGCGCCCGGCGCCCCAGCGGGCCUCGCUGACCCCUAAGGCCCCCCGAUCCGGACCGCCGCCCCAUGCUGGACCUUCUUCCGAGCCGAGGAGAGAACAAGGCAGGUGCUAGGUGCUAUCCAACGUCGCCGUGUAGGACUUCUCGUGGUGGGAAGAACCUCAAGAGUGCAGUUUUGGUGAGCUAGUCAUCUUCACCCUCCUUUUAAAAGAAAAACAAAAACGGAACACCACCACAGUAUAAAGGAGAUCGCAUGAUCGCCCCCCCUUU
This 985-nucleotide long non-coding RNA is filed under the name Sus scrofa (pig). Its description in RNAcentral is "lncRNA (ENSSSCG00025023930.1)". The record is from RNAcentral. Lineage: Eukaryota; Metazoa; Chordata; Mammalia; Artiodactyla; Suidae.